AGAGUUUGAUCCUGGCUCAGGAUUAACGCUGGCGGCGUGUCUAAUACAUGCAAGUCGAACGCCCUCUUCGGAGUGAGUGGCAAACGGGUGAGUAACGCGUUGGUAUCUACCUUGAAGUGAGGGAUAACUCCGAGAAAUCGGAGCUAAUACCGCAUAUGGCCUAAGGGUUAAAGAUUUAUUGCCAUUGGAUGAGCCCGCGUCCUAUCAGCUUGUUGGUGAGGUAAUGGCUUACCAAGGCAACGAUCCGUAGCUGGUCUGAGAGGAUGAUCAGCCACAAUGAGACUGAGACACGGCUCAUACUCCUACGGGAGGCAGCAGUAAGGAAUCUUUCACAAUGGGGGAAACCCUGAUCCAGCCAUGCCGCGUGAGUGAAGAAGGCCCUAGGGUUGUAAAGCUCUUUCAGCGGGAAGAAUUCUGACGGUACUCCAGGAAUAAGCACCGGCUAACUCCGUGCCAGCAGCCGCGGUAAUACGGAGGGUGCAAGCGUUAUCCGGAAUUUUGGGCGUAAAGAGUUCGUAGGCGGUUUGUUAAGUCAGGGGUGAAAUCCCAGACCUCAACUCUGGAACUGCCUCUGAUACUGGCAAUCUCGAGUCCGGAAGAGGUUUGUGGAAUUCCGAGUGUAGAGGUGAAUUUCGUAGAUAUUCGGAGGAACACCAGAGGCGAAGGCGGCCAACUGGUCCGAGACUGACGCUGAGGAGCGAAAGCGUGGGGAGCGAACGGGAUUAGAUACCCCGGUAGUCCACGCCGUAAACUACGGAUACUAGAUAUUGGUCGGUAUACUCAUCAGUGUCGCAGCAAACGCAUAAGUAUCCCGCCUGGGGACUACGGUCGCAAGACUAAAACUCAAAUGAAUUGACGG
Molecule: ribosomal RNA, 859 nt
Filed under: uncultured bacterium
Lineage: Bacteria
Description: bacterial SSU rRNA
Rfam family: Bacterial small subunit ribosomal RNA
Source: RNAcentral